CAACCCUCAAGCCUGGCUUGGUGAUGGGGCAACGCGGUCCGCCGCGUGCCUCAAAUCGACCGGCUGGGUCUUCUGUCCCCUAAGCGUUGUGGAAACUAUUCGCUAAAGGGUGCUCGGGAGGCUACGCCGUAAAACAACCCCAUUUCUAA
This 149-nucleotide unclassified non-coding RNA is filed under the name Cladosporium cladosporioides. Its description in RNAcentral is "sequence contains ITS2". Lineage: Eukaryota; Fungi; Ascomycota; Dothideomycetes; Cladosporiales; Cladosporiaceae. The record is from RNAcentral.